GACGAACGCUGGCGGCGUGCCUAAUACAUGCAAGUCGAACGCACUCUCGUUUAGAUUGAAGGAGCUUGCUCCUGAUUGAUAAACAUUUGAGUGAGUGGCGGACGGGUGAGUAACACGUGGGUAACCUGCCCUAAAGUGGGGGAUAACAUUUGGAAACAGAUGCUAAUACCGCAUAAAACCUAACACCGCAUGGUGUAGGGUUGAAAGAUGGUUUCGGCUAUCACUUUAGGAUGGACCCGCGGUGCAUUAGUUAGUUGGUGAGGUUAAAGGCUCACCAAGACCGUGAUGCAUAGCCGACCUGAGAGGGUAAUCGGCCACACUGGGACUGAGACACGGCCCAGACUCCGUACGGGAGCAGC
This 359-nucleotide ribosomal RNA is filed under the name uncultured bacterium. RNAcentral describes it as "bacterial SSU rRNA". It matches the Rfam family "Bacterial small subunit ribosomal RNA", at positions 28 to 352 of the family's 1533-position model. The record is from RNAcentral.